GCUUACGUGGUCCAAUGGUUAGGAUUCCACCCUUCCAUCUCAACGUGAGAGAGAGAGGUGGAGGUUCGCGUUCGAUUCGCGGCGUUUGCA
Xylogone sp. PMI_703 is the source of this 90-nucleotide non-coding RNA. The record is from the annotation of a GenBank genome assembly. Lineage: Eukaryota; Fungi; Ascomycota; Leotiomycetes.